CGGUUUACGUUUUACUCGUGAUAUAUUAUCCGUAAUAUCGGGAUUGCCGAAUAAAGUAUUGGGCGAUCGUUAUUAGUGUGCAGUUCGAGAAUAGGAUAAUGUCAGCAGAAAGUGGCAUCCAUGGAGCGACUCGAAUCAUACCAGAAAAGGAAUGUAGCAGUAGCAGUAGCAGCAGCUGCAUCAGCAGUAGGAGCAGCGACAGCUAUUGGUGAGUGAUUUUUUAUCAAAUUAAUAUUUGAAUUUAUAUCACGUAUAUGUAGAACAAACUGAUAUGUGAUAAACGUGAUGCGAGAUAAAAUAUUGCUCUAUUUUAAAAGAAAAAUAUCACCAAGUUGAUUGAUUAAUUAAAUACUUGGUUUUUCAUUAAUAUUUCUAACGCCUUAAAUAAAAAUAAUUACAAUAGCAUAUUAGAAUCUUUUAAUACUGAAACAAGAAAUAAGAAAUUAAUUCCAAUGGUAAGGCGCAGCAUUUUUCUAAUGCUGAAUAAAUCUCGUAGAUAGAGCAAUAAUUUCGUAAUGCAAAGAAAAGUAAAAGCUUAUAUUUUGAAAGUUUAUAUUUCUAAUACCAAAUAUCCAGUACAUUUUGUUCUUAUAAUUACAAUGCAAAACUUAGAAAACUUUAACAUUCUGAUAA
Long non-coding RNA from Monomorium pharaonis (pharaoh ant), 633 nucleotides. RefSeq lists it as uncharacterized. The record is from RefSeq and is a predicted model, not a curated record. The transcript is spliced from 2 exons. NCBI's taxonomy places the organism in Eukaryota, Metazoa, Arthropoda, Insecta, Hymenoptera, Formicidae.